RNAcentral lists this long non-coding RNA (590 nucleotides) under Ooceraea biroi (clonal raider ant). RNAcentral describes it as "uncharacterized LOC109611101, transcript variant X2". Lineage: Eukaryota; Metazoa; Arthropoda; Insecta; Hymenoptera; Formicidae. The record is from RNAcentral.
GACACUUUCACAUUCUAGAUACACUUCUUCUCAAGGAAAGGAAGCAGUUCGAGUGCUUCGCGUCUUUCUUUCCAUCGUCAGCCACGAUACAGAUUACACAAUGAUAAGACAAUCUUCAAAGGCUACUGCUCCGGCAGUUUGUACCGCAAAAAUAAACGGAAAUGCUGAAUAUUCUGCUGGAUAAACAUUUAUCUGGAACUGCGAGGUUAUGAAGCCUCUUAAAAGAGAUAACUACAGAAUCCAUCCUGAUAUGUGACUUGCGAUCUGAUUGAAGUGGAGCACACAGGCAGCAGAAGCAGAUCACAUUGAACUGGAAUAAUGCAGUUGCUGUCACAGAUCAACGCGAGAUAAUGCGAGAUCAAUCAAGAUAACGGGAGUGACUACCAUUUUCAAGACAAAUGCAGAUGUGCACAUAUGCGACAUAACGAUUGCUGUGGAGUGCGCGUAGUCUUUGCAUCUGUUAAACGACGUACUAAUCAUCGCUUUGGAAUCACGUGGCAUAAAUUUCAUGAGUAAUAAAGUAAGCUGCGAGUAACAAUAAUCACUAAAGACCUAAGUAGCGUUUCAAUCUUCUGAAUCAUUAAACAAAA